UACGGAGGGUGCAAGCGUUAUCCGGAUUUAUUGGGUUUAAAGGGUGCGUAGGCGGUUAUAUAAGUCAGUGGUGAAAUCCUGCAGCUCAACUGUAGAACAGCCAUUGAAACUGUAUGACUUGAGUGAUCUUGAGGUAGGCGGAAUGUGUAGUGUAGCGGUGAAAUGCUUAGAUAUUACACAGAACACCGAUUGCGAAGGCAGCUUACUAAGGAUUUACUGACGCUGAUGCACGAAAGCGUGGGGAUCAAAC
RNAcentral lists this ribosomal RNA (250 nucleotides) under uncultured bacterium. RNAcentral's name for it is "partial 16S ribosomal RNA". It matches the Rfam family "Bacterial small subunit ribosomal RNA", at positions 524 to 773 of the family's 1533-position model. The record is from RNAcentral.